UCCUACGGGAGGCAGCAGUGGGGAAUAUUGCACAAUGGGCGCAAGCCUGAUGCAGCAACGCCGCUUGAGGGAUGACGGCCUUCGGGUUGUAAACCUCUUUUAGUAGGGAAGAAGCGAAAGUGACGGUACCUGCAGAAAAAGCACCGGCUAACUACGUGCCAGCAGCCGCGGUAAUACGUAGGGUGCGAGCGUUGUCCGGAAUUAUUGGGCGUAAAGAGCUCGUAGGCGGUCUGUCGCGUCUGCUGUGAAAACCCGAGGCUCAACCUCGGGCCUGCAGUGGGUACGGGCAGACUAGAGUGCGGUAGGGGAGAAUGGAAUUCCUGGUGUAGCGGUGGAAUGCGCAGAUAUCAGGAGGAACACCGAUGGCGAAGGCAGUUCUCUGGGCCGUAACUGACGCUGAGGAGCGAAAGCGUGGGGAGCGAACAGGAUUAGAUACCCUGGUAGUCCACGCCGUAAACGUUGGGCGCUAGAUGUGGGGACCAUUCCACGGUUUCCGUGUCGCAGCUAACGCAUUAAGCGCCCCGCCUGGGGAGUACGGCCGCAAGGCUAAAACUCAAAGGAAUUGACGGGGGCCCGCACAAGCGGCGGAGCAUGCGGAUUAAUUCGAUGCAACGCGAAGAACCUUACCAAGGCUUGACAUACACGAGAACGCCCUAGAAAUAGGGAACUCUUUGGACACUCGUGAACAGGUGGUGCAUGGUUGUCGUCAGCUCGUGUCGUGAGAUGUUGGGUUAAGUCCCGCAACGAGCGCAACCCUCGUUCUAUGUUGCCAGCGCGUAAUGGCGGGAACUCAUAGGAGACUGCCGGGGUCAACUCGGAGGAAGGUGGGGAUGACGUCAAAUCAUCAUGCCCCUUAUGUCUUGGGCUUCACGCAUGCUACAAUGGCCGGUACAAAGGGCUGCAAUACCGUAAGGUGGAGCGAAUCCCAAAAAGCCGGUCUCAGUUCGGAUUGAGGUCUGCAACUCGACCUCAUGAAGUCGGAGUCGCUAGUAAUCGCAGAUCAGCAACGCUGCGGUGAAUACGUUCCCGGGCCUUGUACACACCGCCCGUCAAGUCAUGAAAGUCGGUAACACCCGAAGCCGGUGGCCCAACCCUUGUGGAGGGAGCCGUCGAAGGUGGGAU
This 1122-nucleotide ribosomal RNA is filed under the name Leifsonia sp. Its description in RNAcentral is "bacterial SSU rRNA". It matches the Rfam family "Bacterial small subunit ribosomal RNA", at positions 337 to 1468 of the family's 1533-position model. The record is from RNAcentral. Lineage: Bacteria; Bacillati; Actinomycetota; Actinomycetes; Micrococcales; Microbacteriaceae.